RNAcentral lists this ribosomal RNA (1784 nucleotides) under Clostridioides difficile DA00196. Its description in RNAcentral is "bacterial LSU rRNA". It matches the Rfam family "Bacterial large subunit ribosomal RNA", at positions 1120 to 2925 of the family's 2925-position model. The record is from RNAcentral. Lineage: Bacteria; Bacillati; Bacillota; Clostridia; Peptostreptococcales; Peptostreptococcaceae.
CAUUCAAAGAGUGCGUAAUAGCUCACUGGUCGAGUGAUCCUGCGCCGAAGAUUUCCGGGGCUAAAACUUACUACCGAAGCUACGGCAUCAGUAAUGAUGGGUAGGGGAGCUUCCCAUACGGGUUGAAGCAUGACCGUAAGGACAUGUGGACAGUAUGGGAGUGAGAAUGUUGGCAUGAGUAGCGAGAUGUGGGGGAGAAUCCCACAGGCCGUAAACCCAAGGUUUCCAGGGGAAGGUUCGUCCGCCCUGGGUUAGUCGGGACCUAAGCUGAGGCCGAAAGGCGUAGGUGAUGGACAACAGGUUGAUAUUCCUGUACUACCGAUAACCGUUUGAGAGAAGGGAUGACACAGUAGGAUAAGCUAAGCACACUGUUGGUUAUGUGUGCCCAAGCAUUGAGGCAGUCAAAGUAGGCAAAUCCGCUUUGAUAAUGCUGGGAUGUGAUGGGGAGCGAAAUUUAGUAGCGAAGUAGCUGAUUUCACACUGUCAAGAAAAGUCUCUAUCGAGGUUAAAGGUACCCGUACCGCAAACCGACACAGGUGGGUGAGGAGAGUAUCCUAAGGCCAGCGAGAGAACUGUUGUUAAGGAACUCGGCAAAAUGACCCCGUAACUUAGGGAUAAGGGGUGCCACCAUCAGGUGGCCGCAGAGAAUAGGCCCAAGCGACUGUUUACCAAAAACAUAGGUUUCUGCUAAGUCGCAAGACGAUGUAUAGGAGCUGACGCCUGCCCGGUGCUGGAAGGUUAAGGGGAUCUGUUAGAGUAAUCGAAGCAGUGAACUUAAGCCCCAGUAAACGGCGGCCGUAACUAUAACGGUCCUAAGGUAGCGAAAUUCCUUGUCGGGUAAGUUCCGACCCGCACGAAAGGCGUAACGAUUUGGGCACUGUCUCAACAACAGACUCGGUGAAAUUGUAAUUCCGGUGAAGAUGCCGGAUACCUGCGACAGGACGGAAAGACCCCAUGGAGCUUUACUGUAGCUUGACAUUGGGUCUUGGUACUACAUGUACAGGAUAGGUGGGAGGCUUUGAAACCAGGACGCCAGUUUUGGCGGAGCCAUCCUUGGGAUACCACCCUUGUAGUACUGGGACUCUAACCAUAGGCCAUGAAUCUGGUCUUGGGACACUGUCAGGUGGGCAGUUUGACUGGGGCGGUCGCCUCCCAAAGGUAACGGAGGCGCUCAAAGGUUCUCUCAGUACGGUCGGAAAUCGUACGUAGAGUGUAAAGGCAAAAGAGAGCUUGAUUGCAAGCAUACAGGUCGAGCAAGGAUAGAAAAUCGGACUUAGUGAUCCGGGUGGUUCUGCGUGGAAGGGCCAUCGCUCAACGGAUAAAAGCUACCCUGGGGAUAACAGGCUUAUCUCCCCCAAGAGUCCACAUCGACGGGGAGGUUUGGCACCUCGAUGUCGGCUCAUCACAUCCUGGGGCUGUAGUAGGUCCCAAGGGUUGGGCUGUUCGCCCAUUAAAGUGGUACGCGAGCUGGGUUCAGAACGUCGUGAGACAGUUCGGUCCCUAUCCGUCGCAGGCGUAGGAAAUUUGAGAAGACCUGUCCUUAGUACGAGAGGACCGGGAUGGACGUACCUCUGGUGUACCAGUUGUCCUGCCAAGGGCAUGGCUGGGUAGCUAUGUACGGAAUGGAUAAGCGCUGAAAGCAUCUAAGCGCGAAGCCAACUUCAAGAUAAGAUUUCCCACCGCAAGGGUAAGACCCCAGAAAGACUAUCUGGUUGAUAGGUCGAAGGUGUAAGUGCAGCAAUGUAUUUAGCUUAUCGAUACUAAUAGGUCGAGGACUUGACCAA